Molecule: ribosomal RNA, 253 nt
Filed under: uncultured bacterium
Lineage: Bacteria
Description: partial 16S ribosomal RNA
Rfam family: Bacterial small subunit ribosomal RNA
Source: RNAcentral
UACGAAGGAUCCAAGCGUUAUCCGGAUUUAUUGGGUUUAAAGGGUGCGUAGGCGGCUUAUUAAGUCAGUGGUGAAAGCCUGAUGCUUAACAUCAGAACUGCCAUUGAUACUGAUGAGCUUGAAUAUACUUGAGGUAGGCGGAAUGUGUCAUGUAGCGGUGAAAUGCUUAGAUAUGACACAGAACACCGAUUGCGAAGGCAGCUUGCUAAAGUAUGAUUGACGCUGAGGCACUAAAGCGUGGGGAUCAAACGGG